UGGGGAAUUUUGGACAAUGGGCGCAAGCCUGAUCCAGCAAUGCCGCGUGAGUGAAGAAGGCCUUCGGGUUGUAAAGCUCUUUUGUCAGGGAAGAAACGGUCGGGGCUAAUAUCCUCGGCUAAUGACGGUACCUGAAGAAUAAGCACCGGCUAACUACGUGCCAGCAGCCGCGGUAAUACGUAGGGUGCAAGCGUUAAUCGGAAUUACUGGGCGUAAAGCGUGCGCAGGCGGUUUUGUAAGUCUGACGUGAAAUCCCCGGGCUCAACCUGGGAAUUGCGUUGGAGACUGCAAGGCUGGAGUCUGGCAGAGGGGGGUAGAAUUCCACGUGUAGCAGUGAAAUGCGUAGAGAUGUGGAGGAACACCGAUGGCGAAGGCAGCCCCCUGGGUCAAGACUGACGCUCAUGCACGAAAGCGUGGGGAGCAAACA
This 427-nucleotide ribosomal RNA is filed under the name uncultured Massilia sp. RNAcentral's name for it is "bacterial SSU rRNA". It matches the Rfam family "Bacterial small subunit ribosomal RNA", at positions 355 to 774 of the family's 1533-position model. Lineage: Bacteria; Pseudomonadati; Pseudomonadota; Betaproteobacteria; Burkholderiales; Oxalobacteraceae. The record is from RNAcentral.